GUGGUCUCUUUUAAAAUUAAAAAGUCGGUGAGAUCAACAUGCUACAACCAACCAGCAAAGAGGGUUGCCUACUAUGAAUAAAAAAUCUAUGGAAAAUAUUUUUAUAUUUGGUAUAAUGCUGUUUUUGGGGUUUGGUUUUUUUUUUUGUCGUCUCUCUCUCUCUUUCUCUCUUGUCCUGGUUUUGUUUAUAUGUAUUUUUAUUGGACUUUUAAAAAUCAUUUUCAACGACAAGGCAUGCAGCAUCAAAAUUAUUGUUUGAAAGUUAUUCUCUCUGUCAUUAAUCUGCAUGAAAUAUUACCACUGAACGUUCAGAAAACAACAAGCAAUCAAUCAUAAAGCUAGGUUCACACUGCCGAUCAGAUCAACUCGAUCAAGCCCGAUCAAGACAAAUUACGUGAUCGGGAGACUGGUCUGACUCAACC
Molecule: long non-coding RNA, 422 nt
Filed under: Mytilus galloprovincialis (Mediterranean mussel)
Lineage: Eukaryota; Metazoa; Mollusca; Bivalvia; Mytilida; Mytilidae
Source: RNAcentral